AUCUAUGGAAGAAGUUCACUCUAAUUCCGUAUAUAUUUAUAUAUAUCAAAAUCUUUAUCUUAUGUACUAACUAAACUAAACUCUAAAUAUAAAUAAAAAUUAAUUAAAGUUCAAAUUCUUCUCCAACUCAAUCAAUUAUCUCCUCACAACUAACCUCAAACCCAUCCUUCCGCACCAUCGCAUACAACCUCGCCGCCGCUGUGAGCCUCCGGUCCGCCGCGCUUCACCGCUGCUCUUAGUCUUUUUUCCGGUCGCCGCCUCCCCUCUUCGAAGGCCGGUUGAGGUAUGUAUACGAUCCUUGAAUUCUUCUGUUUGGUAUCUUGAUAUUUUUUGCUGUUAAGAUGGCUGGAUUAUGCGGCAACUUUAUAAAUUGGAGUAGUUACAGUGCGAAAGAUUAAAAAAAAUACAUUUUUUUCUUGCUAAUCUGAAUAUAUUUGUGGGAUGAAUAUGUUAGGCAUGGAAAAUUGUGUUCUUGGGUGCAUGUGAAAUGAAUUUUGAUCGUGUAUUUGUUAAUCCAUAAAGAAAGAAGUUCAAUUGAGUUUUGACAAGGAGAAUCUUGAAAUAAGAAAA
Molecule: long non-coding RNA, 570 nt
Organism: Salvia miltiorrhiza (redroot sage)
Lineage: Eukaryota; Viridiplantae; Streptophyta; Magnoliopsida; Lamiales; Lamiaceae
Exons: 2
Source: RefSeq, a predicted model, not a curated record